CCAGACUCCUACGGGAGGCAGCAGUUGGGAAUAUUGGACAAUGGAGGAAGCUCUGAUCCAGUGACGCCGCGUGAAGGAAGAAGGUCUUCGGAUUGUAAACUUAUUUUGUCAGGGAAGAAAAAAAUGACUGUACCUGAAGAAAAAGCACCGGCUAACUACGUGCCAGCAGCCGCGGUAAUACGUAGGUGGCAAGCGUUAUCCGGAUUUACUGGGUGUAAAGGGCGUGUAGGCGGGACUGCAAGUCAGAUGUGAAAACCAUGGGCUCAACCUGUGGCCUGCAUUUGAAACUGUAGUUCUUGAGUACUGGAGAGGCAGACGGAAUUCCUAGUGUAGCGGUGAAAUGCGUAGAUAUUAGGAGGAACACCAGUGGCGAAGGCGGUCUGCUGGACAGCAACUGACGCUGAGGCGCGAAAGCGUGGGGAGCAAACAGGAUUAGAUACCCGAGUA
Molecule: ribosomal RNA, 447 nt
Filed under: uncultured bacterium
Lineage: Bacteria
Description: bacterial SSU rRNA
Rfam family: Bacterial small subunit ribosomal RNA
Source: RNAcentral